RNAcentral lists this ribosomal RNA (700 nucleotides) under uncultured Bacteroidales bacterium. RNAcentral's name for it is "bacterial SSU rRNA". It matches the Rfam family "Bacterial small subunit ribosomal RNA", at positions 59 to 746 of the family's 1533-position model. The record is from RNAcentral. Lineage: Bacteria; Pseudomonadati; Bacteroidota; Bacteroidia; Bacteroidales.
AAGUCGAGGGGCAGCAUGGUCUUAGCUUGCUAAGGCUGAUGGCGACCGGCGCACGGGUGAGUAACACGUAUCCAACCUGCCGUCUACUCUUGGCCAGCCUUCUGAAAGGAAGAUUAAUCCAGGAUGGGAUCAUGAGUUCACAUGUCCGCAUGAUUAAAGGUAUUUUCCGGUAGACGAUGGGGAUGCGUUCCAUUAGAUAGUAGGCGGGGUAACGGCCCACCUAGUCAACGAUGGAUAGGGGUUCUGAGAGGAAGGUCCCCCACAUUGGAACUGAGACACGGUCCAAACUCCUACGGGAGGCAGCAGUGAGGAAUAUUGGUCAAUGGGCGAUGGCCUGAACCAGCCAAGUAGCGUGAAGGAUGACUGCCCUAUGGGUUGUAAACUUCUUUUAUAAAGGAAUAAAGUCGGGUAUGCAUACCCGUUUGCAUGUACUUUAUGAAUAAGGAUCGGCUAACUCCGUGCCAGCAGCCGCGGUAAUACGGAGGAUCCGAGCGUUAUCCGGAUUUAUUGGGUUUAAAGGGAGCGUAGAUGGAUGUUUAAGUCAGUUGUGAAAGUUUGCGGCUCAACCGUAAAAUUGCAGUUGAUACUGGAUGUCUUGAGUGCAGUUGAGGCAGGCGGAAUUCGUGGUGUAGCGGUGAAAUGCUUAGAUAUCACGAAGAACUCCGAUUGCGAAGGCAGCCUGCUAAGCUGCAACUGACAU